AAAGAUUUAGUUAAAUAAUAACAUUAGAGUGUCAAACUAAAAUUACUAGGAAGUAAUCUUUA
RNAcentral lists this transfer RNA (62 nucleotides) under Ischnoptera sp. B084. Its description in RNAcentral is "tRNA-Asp". Lineage: Eukaryota; Metazoa; Arthropoda; Insecta; Blattodea; Blattellidae. The record is from RNAcentral.